Long non-coding RNA from Elgaria multicarinata webbii, 509 nucleotides. RefSeq lists it as uncharacterized. Lineage: Eukaryota; Metazoa; Chordata; Lepidosauria; Squamata; Anguidae. The transcript is spliced from 2 exons. The record is from RefSeq and is a predicted model, not a curated record.
UGCAGCUGAUCUUCUUUGCCUUCUCAUUGCUGCCACUUUUAUUUCUUGUCCUGCAUCGAUCAAGGCGCUUGUGGCAUCUCCUGCUUCUUCUGGGCCAGAGCAACAGGGGACCCCCCGCCCAGCAUCCCUAAAGCCGUGCCAGGGAUGGGAAUAACCCCUAGGAAAAACCUUUCAAUCAUCGCAACCAAAUCCUGUCAGUGCUGGUGGGCCUAGAGGCCAGGGUUGGCUACGCGCUCAUCGCGGGCAUCGUCUGCAUCCAGAAGCCGGUGCCUAGCCACGUGGGGCCUGGCGCCAUUGCAGUCAAGGAGGAAUAAGAAUAAGAGUGGGGCACCUGGCUGAGUGACAAUGUGCUCCGUGUUCUUCAAAUGGACCGUGGUUCUUGUACUACGUUAGGCCUGGCAAAGCCACCUCCCCUCAGACGCUUCUCUCUCUUUCCUCUUGUUCAUUCCAGAAUUCAGGGCAUGGGACGGGGUGGGGGGCAGCCGAGGCCAAUAAAUCUGUGCCACCCA